RNAcentral lists this transfer RNA (67 nucleotides) under Marmota monax (woodchuck). Its description in RNAcentral is "tRNA.Ala". Lineage: Eukaryota; Metazoa; Chordata; Mammalia; Rodentia; Sciuridae. The record is from RNAcentral.
GGUUGUGACUCAGUGGUAGAGCGCUUGCCUAGCAUGUGUGAGGCACUGGGUUCAAUUCUCAGCACCA